UACAGAGGGGGCGAGCGUUGUUCGGAAUUACUGGGCGUAAAGGGCGCGUAGGCGGCCCGCUAAGUCGAACGUGAAAUCCCCAGGCUCAACCUGGGAACUGCGUCCGAUACUGGCAGGCUUGAAGCCGGGAGAGGGAUGUGGAAUUCCAGGUGUAGCGGUGAAAUGCGUAGAUAUCUGGAGGAACACCGGUGGCGAAGGCGGCAUCCUGGACCGGUAUUGACGCUGAGGCGCGAAAGCUAGGGGAGCAAACGGG
RNAcentral lists this ribosomal RNA (253 nucleotides) under uncultured bacterium. RNAcentral describes it as "partial 16S ribosomal RNA". It matches the Rfam family "Bacterial small subunit ribosomal RNA", at positions 524 to 776 of the family's 1533-position model. The record is from RNAcentral.